AGAAGAGGGCAGGGUCGUGUGGGGAGGCUGGGCGGACCCCUAGGGAGCGAGGCUGUGGCGGGACAGCGGAGCUGUGGUGGGGGCCUAGAGCCGGCAGCCUGGGCUUCGCCGGGCCCUGCCUUACCCAGGCGAGCCCCAGUGCGGGUCCCGGCGGCAGCCGGCAGCGCUCCCUCUGGCCCCGCUUUCAGUCGGGCUGGCUGCCCGCUCACCACGCUUCAGCCCCGGGGGGGCAGCGGGCGGGGGCCUGCCGUGGCACUAGCUGAGGUCCAGUUAGGGGACCCUAUAUCAAUCCCCCUUAUUCCGUGAUACCUGUGUGGGCCCUGCACAGCGAAUGGAAGUAACGGGUAACAAACAAAACUAUUUUUGUCAUUUACGGCAGCAAAUUUCCCUGAUUUUCUCUGCCACAAGAAAGUGAUUCAGCCUCCAGCAUCUCUCCUCUCUCUUCACCACAUCCAAUCCAUCAAAAAUAGGCAAGGAGGUUUAUGAACAAGGUUUCCAUACCAAGUUACAUCAUUACGUAUGUAUCCAGCUUUAUUUACUAAUUAAGCACCACCUGUACUUUUGGCACUUUACAACAAAGACAUGUUCCGGGCCUCAGCAAUCUUAGACUCCACCGACCCAUAGUGAGAUGCUAUGAGUUGGAAUUCACAGAUUAUUUUGCUGUGGCCAUUUGUGAAUGCCUUACAAAAGAGGUAUGUUUUGAGAGGAUUUAACUGAAAUGAGAGUUUUAUAGUGCAUAAAAAGAGGACAGCUGUUCCAAGGACUAGGCCCGCUCCUAUAAAGCAAGCGUAUUUAGGGAAAGAUGAACUUGUUUUGUCUGAUUUUCAGCCCUCAUAAAACACAGAUCAAAUACUUGAUUCAAACUUUGUGGAGUUGGCAUUUCACACAGGAAGAACUCUGUGAAGAGAAGUUGGGAUUUUGGUGGUGGGAAGAAAGAAAAUCAUUCCUCCUCCCCCGCCACGUACACACACAUUCAUAGGGCAAUCACUUGCGCCAGCUUUUGGCAUAGGCUUUCCUUUAGUUACAAAAACAUGGUUUUCAAACUGAAUCAAUCUUGAAAAUAAAAUGGGGUUAAAUUACACAGAUCAAGCUGACAAAAAUGUAACUAGCUUGCAAAUCCAGCUAGAUAGUUGCAGAAGUUUACAAAAAUAAUUUCAUGCAGGUUAUAUAUCCUUAUAUUACUGUCUACAUAAGUUUCAAAGAGGUAAAUGAAUGUUACAUUACAAGCUCUCAAAACCGCCAUUUCUUGGUCAUAACUAGCAGUCUCAAGACCACUGAUUGCCACAAAUUUCUCUCUCAGUUCUGUAUUCCUGUUGAAUAAUUUGGCUCCAAUUCUGAUCUAGGCAACAUCUGAACAUGCAUUCCGUGAUCUCCUUACAACUCUUCAUGUGUUGCCAGCGUUUUCUUGAAGUCCAUACAGUAGUAGUAGCCAGGGCUGGCUUCAGCUUUUUUGCUGCCCUGGUAGUAGCAUCCAAAGUCUUGCUGUUGCUUUGCCUUCUGCUAUACUUAAUUCCUACAAUAGAGGAUGUGGCAUGCAGGUCAGACAUUGGGAGGAAGCAAUAGAGUGUAAACCAUGGAAGAGUAUUUGGAGUUACAGAUAGUUCAAUAGAGACAACAGUUCUCUAUUUUGUAUUCUUUCAGCAUUCCUAAGAUGAAUUGUAGUAUUCUGUUAAGGCGUUCAUAAGCCUCAUUUCCUUAAUGAGAGAGUGUCAAGUAGUCCAUCACAAAUUUCUAAUAAAAUGGUCUUCUAAUUGGGCAAGUGGUACUUUAUGUCUUUCUGAAAUCUUCAACAAAGUGAAAUUCUGACAUUUUGCUUACAAUUUAGCAUCUUCUUGCCAGAUUUGUGGUUGAUAAAAUCUUCUCUUCAUCAGUUAAGUAGCAUUCUCUGGACCAAGAUGUCCACUGCAGUUUAAUAAAUCACAAGGCACUUUCUCCUUGAGAAUUACUAUCAUUAGAUUUCCAUCUCCUGGUUGUUGUACAUCUCCCUAUACAGGACUCCAUUACUUUUCAAUUUAAACUUCCUAUGGCAUAAGAUUUCCUCAAUUUCUUUCAAUAAUCUGGUUCUCCCACUCCCAAUGGGGUUGGCCUCCCACUUUCAGUAUGCCCAGUCUGUUCUAACUUAUGUGGAGAGAUAUAAUUACAAGGUUAUUUAAAGGCUUUAAAUGACUUAAUUCUACUAUUUUGAAUCAUCCUCCCUUCACUAUCAUCCUUUGGGUCUUCUCCAUGUUUUGUACUGCAUUUCUAGAAGGGCAACCACAUUACUAUACUGUUUUCAUAGCAGUGGUUUAAUUCAGACUGUGAAGUUAGCCAGUCUUGGUUCAAGUGCCCCCACCUUUGCAUUAGUUAGCUGUAGAAAGGGGCUGUUACUGUAUAUGAAGCCAGUUCAGAUUCUGACAACAUGGGGAAAUAAUCCACCACUUUCCAAAAUAAAGGCAAGUUUCAGGUUGAAGGAGCUAUAGUUUGUUCAAUGUCACUCAAAUAGCCUCAAAACUUCUUUCUUGUCAUUUCUGGUUUUGAGUCAGCACAGCUUCCAACACUAAACUUCUGCCACAUCAACAUCUUGGCUUCCAUGAUGUGCAGCAGGGGCCACUGGAGUAUAUGUGCAGUAAGCUUCUGUCUUAACCCUCUUCAUCCCCUUCCCCCACCUAAUUCCUCAUCUGAUUGUGAGUGGACUGCUGCCAUGGAGACACCGAAAUAGCUAAUAAGAGGGAUAAUUGGGAGGAGCAGCACAGCUGUUGAAGUGGGGAAGGGAGAGGAAGCACAGUCACUGGUGCAACAAGGAGAGGGGGAGCACAACAACAAUGGAAGAGAGAUGAGGGACUGCAGCCACCAAGAGAAGGCACACUGAGUUCAUGGGGAGGAAGGAUCUAGACUAAUUUUUGGAAUCAUUGGAGAUGGGUCCUGGGUACCUCAGAAGAUGUUGAACCCUUCCAUGACCUCCACUUCUCUGUCUCUCACCAUAGUUUUAAAUGAAUUUUAGCUUAUCACUACAUACAGUGUAUUGAGAGGUUUAUUUUGUAAUAAAAUAUCUUGAAAAAUCAUCA
Long non-coding RNA from Mauremys reevesii (Reeves's turtle), 3044 nucleotides. RefSeq lists it as uncharacterized. The record is from RefSeq and is a predicted model, not a curated record. NCBI's taxonomy places the organism in Eukaryota, Metazoa, Chordata, Testudines, Geoemydidae. The transcript has 4 exons.